UGCAGACUAAACAACUCUAAAUGAUGAUUUCUAAAAGAAUCCACGUCGUAGAGGAACCAAUCAGAAACGUUCUAUCGAUCGACGAAGCAAAAUUUUAAUUCGCCAUGUAGUUUUGACCGAAAGCAAAGGCUGCCGACUUUCAGGCAAGAUAGUUUUCUUCAUGUAAACACUUGAGACCAAACUAACGGCUCUGAGGGAAAAGAACGAUGUUCUUUUGUUCCUUGGACGAGAGGAGGCGAGCUGAGCAGAAUUAACAUCUUCCUUUCGCGGUUCUUCCUUCGCUGUCUGGCAACAAAAGAUAUUUGUGUUGGACUUAUUUCAGAGCCUCUCACUGUCUGUUACUGGUUGUCCACGGUGAAAGAACGAUGGAAUAAUUGUCAUUCCUUGGUAACCGCUGUUUUCGUAAUCGCCAAUAUCUUAACGCUAUUCUCUUUGAUGACAGUGACUACAACUAUUAUCGACAGAUUUCUCGCCUUGAAGUUGGGACUCAGAUACAAACAUGUGGUAACGCUAAGACGUCUUCGUAUAACUUUAGCUGCCUUUUGGAUCGUUUCGUUCGCCAUUGCAGUAAUUUCCUUGUUGAAUUUCCCCGCAUACCUAUGGCAUGUUUAUGUUGUUACAUCAUUAUGCUUGGUAACUGCAUCAUUCGCCUUCACCAAGAUAUUCUGCACUCUUAGUGCACAUCAGAAUCAAGUACUUGGCUCUGAGCAACAGAAAACUUCGUUGAACUUAAUGCGAAUUAAGAAGGAAGUGUCCAGCGCUUUUUGGGUGAAGUUGAAUAUGAUUGUUUGUUAUCUCCCGCAUAUUAUAGUUGGUGUGGUAGCGCAAGUUUUGCAGGAUCCAAGUGAUCCUAUAUCAACAACUUUUUUUAUUACAAAGGCGUCUGCACUGACUUUAGUUUAUUUGAACUCGUCAUUAAACCCUAUUCUUUACUGUUGGAAGAUCAAAUCCAUCAGACAUGCUGUGAAAAUCAGAUUAAAAAAACUACUUUCUCUUUAGCUCUUGACGAAAUAUCGAUCUCGAUCAAUAUAUCGACACCAGCGACACAUAGUUUUAAAUAACGUCUGAGCCAUCGAAUUUGAAUAUUAAAGCACGCAUUGCCAGUCAAUAUAACAACAUGACGUAUUUCAUUCGUUGUCGUAAAGGCAUAUACCAAAAUGAUGUACGCGAUUAAUUCAUCAAAUAAAGAUACAAAAUCAACAUCAUUCGUUUCAUGUCCUCUCCAA
This 1226-nucleotide unclassified non-coding RNA is filed under the name Stylophora pistillata. RNAcentral describes it as "adenosine receptor A2b-like, transcript variant X2". Lineage: Eukaryota; Metazoa; Cnidaria; Anthozoa; Scleractinia; Pocilloporidae. The record is from RNAcentral.